Phyllostomus discolor (pale spear-nosed bat) is the source of this 2324-nucleotide long non-coding RNA. RefSeq lists it as uncharacterized. The transcript is spliced from 2 exons. The record is from RefSeq and is a predicted model, not a curated record. NCBI's taxonomy places the organism in Eukaryota, Metazoa, Chordata, Mammalia, Chiroptera, Phyllostomidae.
CCUCCCUCCGCCCUCCCUCCCUGGCGCUCUCUCGCGCUCGCUCGCUCGCUCCAGUAUGUAAAUGUGUAAUAGAAGCCAAAUAUGGAGCAGUUGGCUGCCGCCGCCGCAGCUCAAGGAUCCGACAGGAGGGGGGGCACCCUCCCGCGGGCGGUGGGGCAAGCGGCUCCGAGCCCGGCGAGCGCUGGGUGAGCUGGCGGCCCGCGCCCUUAACCCUUCGGUGCGCGCGGCCGGGGCACGGCUGCCCUCAGGAAGGUGGGCGCGUUUCCCCUAGACCGACUUGGAGUCCAGGGACUAGGAGUAGGAGGAGAGACCCUGGCCAGAGGGGACAGUUCUUCCAGGUUUGGGAAAGGGGCGGGGAGCUGAGGCGAUGAGGUAAUUGUAGCGGUGACCGAUAGGUCCUCGUGCGCCUCCCGGGGUCCCCGCACCUCCUUGGAGGGGACAGAACGACAGCGGGGUGCAAGUCAGGCACCUUGAAGGACUCUGGCUCCGAGCCAGUGAAGUAGCCCAUGGGGAAGGGAGGGGAAGCGGGCCACUGCUGAUUCUCUAGGUGCAGAGUGCUAGAGGGCUGACUGCGAUCGUCCUGCAUGUUCACCCUCACUCGGUUUGGCUUCAGCGUUCCAAGACCCAGACCACCGGGCGGCGGGGAGUGCCUUUGCUUGCAACUCUAGGAAGUUUUAAGGGUACCCCCUCAACCUACUGCACGUGCACCCUUACCUUUAAUGCCUGGAAAAAUCGGUGACCUCCCUGCCCUCCUUUUUCUUCCUGCAGGUCCCGAAAUCGGCUGUGGGUGUGGAACUACCCAGCUGUAACCCUGGUAGACUACCCGCGUACUCCUCUCGCAGCUAAUUCGGGAUCAUUAAUUUAAUCGGAAAUGAGAUAAUUCUGGAAGACCAGUAGGUGCCUGGGCAGCAUUUGACCUCCUUCAGGUGCUUAGAACCAAGUGUCUGGAAACAUAAUCCUUCCAAGUAAGUUUGUCUCUGGAAGCCACCACUAUUGACUGUAAGCUGUAUUUGAGAAACCUUUUGGCUGAGUUUACUUAUGACCUAACGGUUAGUCACCAACCGAAGCAGGAUACGGAAUCACCAAGAGGAAUGUGUCAGCUUUUAAACAACCGUAUUGGAGAAACAACGUGCUACAGAAAUAAAAAAUUGCGUAACUAUGAAGGUGUAGAGCCCCUGAAAUAUUUUGCUCACAUUUUGAAAUACCAUAUACAUAUACAUGGCUAUUUAAAUAGAACUACUACUGUUCACUGUUACUCGUUUCUACAACUUUUUUUUUUUUUUUUCAUUUAAAAAUCAGUGAUUGUUAUGGUUUAAACCCAGGGUUGGUCUAAAAUGACAUUGUUGGUCUCAUUACAGCCUCUAGUGGACAGUUAACAUAAGUUUCCUGAAAAGGCUCUUCCUAGUGUUGUGUUCCUUGACAAGUAUUAUCAAGGUGAAGGUUAAUACCUCAGACAGAACCGGGAAAUAUCGCUUUCCCCCACUUUGCAGAGAGCUGGCUUCUGAAAGGAGCAGCAGCUGUCGGCUCUGCACGGAAAAGAUGUAUGCUUUGUGCUGCAGGUAUUCUUAUUACUGGCCUGUGAAUAAACAGAGAGCUUCUGCUAUUCAUUUCAAUUUCAGACAGUUUUCAUAAAAACUCAUCUAAAAUAUUUUUAUAACAGAAAAUAUUGGUUGCCAUGUUUUUGGCUUAACUGAGAUGUUUUCAUUCCAACUCCUAAUCUGCAGACUGUCCAAUCCACCUACACUCUAUUUUUAGACAUCUUAUAUUUAGAGAAUUUUCAGUUAAAAAAAAGAGCUAAUAUUUUAAUUGUUGCACUGGCACAAGCAGUUAAUUUAAGUUAUUUUAUGAACCUUAAAUUAAAACACAUAAUUCAGAUUAGAGUUAGUCAAUUAAUUUAAAUAUUCCCUCAAGGAAACUAAAUAUGUAUAUUACUAAAGCAGUAAGAACAAUUAAUAAGAAAUGUGUCAUUUACUUUCUUAGCCAUUAAGAUUAAAGCCAUAAACUGCCAUUAAGAUCUGUAACUAUUUCUUCCUGCAAGGUCCAAACAACAUAAACAUAAUAAUACUCAUGAUACAAUUUCAUUACCUUUAGCAUGGAAAUCUUUUAUUUUCAGCUGGCAAAAAAGUAAAUGUACAAUCACAAAAAGCUGGUACUGAUUCUUUAAAAAAACACUCUCAUGCAAAUAGAAACCCAUUGGAAGAAGAGCAGAACUUUCACAAAGCCAGUAGACAAAUAUGUAGUACUGUGGUCUUAUUCAUAAACCUGAUACUAUAUUCGUACAAGCAGAAGUCAAACUUUGAAAUAAAGGAAACUGAGAAACAAGG